RNAcentral lists this ribosomal RNA (433 nucleotides) under uncultured bacterium. Its description in RNAcentral is "partial 16S ribosomal RNA". It matches the Rfam family "Bacterial small subunit ribosomal RNA", at positions 29 to 507 of the family's 1533-position model. The record is from RNAcentral.
AAUGAACGCUGGCGGCAUGCCUAACACAUGCAAGUCGAACGAGACCUUCGGGUCUAGUGGCGCACGGGUGUGUAACGCGUGGGAACCUGCACUUAGGUUCGGAAUAACUCCCCGACAGGGGUGCUAAUACCGGACAAUGUCUUCGGCCCAAAGAUUUAUCGCCUUUGGAUGGGCACGCGUUGGAUUAGCUAGUUGGUAGGGUAAAAGCCUACCAAGGCGACGAUCCAUAGCUGGUCUGAGAGGAUGAUCAGCCACACUGAGACUAAGACACGGCCCAGACUCCUACGGGAGGCAGCAGUGGGGAAUAGUGGACAAUGGGCGAAAGCCUGAUCCAGCAAUGCCGCGUGAGUGAUGAAGGCCUUAGGGUUGUAAAGCUCUAUUACCCGGGAUGAUAAUGACAGUACCUGGAGAAUAAGCUCCGGCUAACUCCGUG